GAUUUCUGGUACGGCGCGCUUGGCCCGCCAGGGUUACCUGGUUGUGUGCUGGUGCGCGCCUGCCAUCCUUUUGCAUUUCAGUUCUAUCCUUUACUGGUGUGUAACUGGUUUGCAAAUCUUUUACUUUGAAAAAAUUAGAGUGUUUAAAGCAGGCUUGCGCUAUGAAUACAUUAGCAUGGAAUAAUAAUCUAGGACUUUCGGUUCUAUUUUGUUGGUGUUCUGGAGCUGAAGUAAUGAUUGAUAGGGAUAGUUGGGGGUGCUAGUAUUCAAUGGCCAGAGGUGAAAUUCUCGGAUUCCUUGAAGACUAACUUAUGCGAAAGCAUU
Molecule: ribosomal RNA, 324 nt
Filed under: Cercomonas sp.
Lineage: Eukaryota; Cercozoa; Cercomonadida; Cercomonadidae
Description: SSU rRNA
Rfam family: Eukaryotic small subunit ribosomal RNA (bases 105-324)
Source: RNAcentral